Molecule: ribosomal RNA, 262 nt
Filed under: uncultured bacterium
Lineage: Bacteria
Description: partial 16S ribosomal RNA
Rfam family: Bacterial small subunit ribosomal RNA
Source: RNAcentral
CGGACCGGCGCACGGGUGAGUAACACGUAUGCAACCUGCCCUCUUCAGGGGGACAACCUUCCGAAAGGGAGGCUAAUCCCGCGUAUAUCGGUUUCGGGCAUCCGAGAUCGAGGAAAGAUUCAUCGGAAGAGGAUGGGCAUGCGGCGCAUUAGCUAGACGGCGGGGUAACGGCCCACCGUGGCGACGAUGCGUAGGGGUUCUGAGAGGAAGGCCCCCCACACUGGGACUGAGACACGGCCCAGACUCCUACGGGAGGCAGCAG